RNAcentral lists this ribosomal RNA (449 nucleotides) under uncultured prokaryote. Its description in RNAcentral is "bacterial SSU rRNA". It matches the Rfam family "Bacterial small subunit ribosomal RNA", at positions 355 to 796 of the family's 1533-position model. The record is from RNAcentral.
UGGGGAAUAUUGGACAAUGGGGGCAACCCUGAUCCAGCCAUGCCGCGUGUGUGAAGAAGGCUUUCGGGUUGUAAAGCACUUUCAGUAGGGAAGAAAAGCCUGAGGUUAAUACCCUCGAGUCUUGACGGUACCUACAGAAGAAGCACCGGCUAACUCCGUGCCAGCAGCCGCGGUAAUACGGAGGGUGCAAGCGUUAAUCAGAAUUACUGGGCGUAAAGCGCGCGUAGGUGGUUUGGUAAGUCGGGUGUGAAAGCCCCGGGCUCAACCUGGGAACUGCAUUCGAUACUGCCUGACUAGAGUGUGGUAGAGGGAAGUGGAAUUCCGCAUGUAGCGGUGAAAUGCGUAGAGAUGCGGAGGAACACCAAUGGCGAAGGCAACUUCCUGGACCAACACUGACACUGAGGUGCGAAAGCGUGGGUAGCAAACAGGAUUAGAUACCCCCGUAGUCC